CCCUUAGAUGUUCUGGGCCGCACGCGCGCUACACUGAUGAAUGCAACGAGCUCUACCCUUGACCGAAAGGCCCGGGUAAACUUGUGAAACUUCAUCGUGAUGGGGAUAGAUUAUUGCAAUUAUUAAUCUUCAACGAGGAAUUCCUAGUAAGCGCGAGUCAUCAGCUCGCGUUGAUUACGUCCCUGCCCUUUGUACACACCGCCCGUCGCUCCUACCGAUUGAAUGGUCCGGUGAAAUCUUCGGAUUGCUGACCAAGAUCUAGCAAUGGAGCUUGGUUGCGAGAAGUUGAUUAAACCUUAUUAUUUAGAGGAAGGAGAAGUCGUAACA
Molecule: ribosomal RNA, 327 nt
Filed under: uncultured eukaryote
Lineage: Eukaryota
Description: partial 18S ribosomal RNA
Rfam family: Eukaryotic small subunit ribosomal RNA
Source: RNAcentral